Molecule: ribosomal RNA, 726 nt
Filed under: uncultured bacterium
Lineage: Bacteria
Description: bacterial SSU rRNA
Rfam family: Bacterial small subunit ribosomal RNA
Source: RNAcentral
GAUGAACGCUGGCGGCGUGCUUAACACAUGCAAGUCGAACGAAGCAGCUCAUUACGAUCCCUUCGGGGUGACGAUUUGCUGACUGAGUGGCGGACGGGUGAGUAACGCGUGGGUAACCUACCUUGUACAGGGGGAUAACAGUUGGAAACGACUGCUAAUACCGAUAAGCGCACACGCUUCGCAUGAAGCAGUGUGAAAAGUUAUUCGGUAUAAGAUGGACCCGCGUUUGAUUAGCUAGUUGGUGAGGUAACGGCCCACCAAGGCAACGAUCAAUAGCCGACCUGAGAGGGUGACCGGCCACAUUGGGACUGAGACACGGCCCAAACUCCUACGGGAGGCAGCAGUGGCGAAUAUUGCACUAUGGGCGAAAGCCUGAUGCAGCGACGCCGCGUGAGCGAAGAAGUAUUUCGGUAUGUAAAGCUCUAUCAGCAGGGAAGAUAAUGACGGUACCUGACUAAGAAGCACCGGCUAAAUAGGUGCCAGCAGCCGGCGGUAAUACGUAUGGUGCAAGCGUUAUCCGGAUUUACUGGGUGUAAAGGGAGCGUAGGCGGUUUUACAAGUCUGAUGUGAAAGCCCGUGGCUCAACCACGGUAUUGCAUUGGAAACUGUAGAACUAGAGUGUCGGAGGGGUAAGUGGAAUUCCUAGUGUAGCGGUGAAAUGCGUAGAUAUUAGGAGGAACACCAGUGGCGAAGGCGGCUUACUGGACGAUUACUGACGCUGAGGCU